AUUGAACGCUGGCGGCAUGCCUAACACAUGCAAGUCGAACGGCAGCACGGCAGUAGCAAUACUGUGGGUGGCGAGUGGCGGACGGGUGAGGAAUACGUCGGAAUCUGCCCAGUCGUGGGGGAUAACUAGCCGAAAGGUUAGCUAAUACCGCAUACGACCGAGAGGUGAAAGCGGGGGACCGCAAGGCCUCGCGCGAUUGGAUGAGCCGACGUCGGAUUAGCUAGUUGGUGGGUAAAGGCCCACCAAGGCGACGAUCCGUAGCUGGUCUGAGAGGAUGAUCAGCCACACUGGAACUGAGACACGGUCCAGACUCCUACGGGAGGCAGCAGUGGGGAAUAUUGGACAAUGGGCGCAAGCCUGAUCCAGCAAUGCCGCGUGUGUGAAGAAGGCCUCGGUUGUAAG
RNAcentral lists this ribosomal RNA (402 nucleotides) under uncultured bacterium. RNAcentral's name for it is "bacterial SSU rRNA". It matches the Rfam family "Bacterial small subunit ribosomal RNA", at positions 29 to 429 of the family's 1533-position model. The record is from RNAcentral.